This 268-nucleotide long non-coding RNA is filed under the name Capra hircus (goat). RNAcentral's name for it is "lncRNA (ENSCHIG00000007394.1)". The record is from RNAcentral. Lineage: Eukaryota; Metazoa; Chordata; Mammalia; Artiodactyla; Bovidae.
CAACCACUUUCACAAAAACUCCAUAGCUGCUCCCAGGGUGUGGUGAAUGGAGUAAUGGCAGAAAUGGCUCAGAGUUGAUGGGAAGCUUUUGCCCUGGGGGCUCAGCGGACUGAAAAGUAUCUGCCAUCCAAAUGGAGAUGCACAGAGGAGGGGCAACAACAAAUUUGUAAAAUGGUUCCAAUGAAAAGCAACAGACAAACAACAUUCAAUUUCAUCAGUUUUUGGAAGAAGAACAUUACUGCCACAUAUCCAGCCAUAAGAUGAAGAU